Molecule: ribosomal RNA, 301 nt
Filed under: uncultured bacterium
Lineage: Bacteria
Description: partial 16S ribosomal RNA
Rfam family: Bacterial small subunit ribosomal RNA
Source: RNAcentral
CAGUCGCCGCGGUAAUACGAACCGUGCGAACGUUAUUCGGAAUCACUGGGCUUAAAGCGCGUGUAGGCGGGCCGCCGCGUCGGCUGCUGAAAUCCCCCGGCUCAACCGGGGAACGGGCACCGAUACGGGCGGCCUCGAGGGGGGUAGGGGGGCCUGGAACUUCCGGUGGAGCGGUGAAAUGCGUUGAGAUCGGAAGGAACGCCCGUGGCGAAAGCGAGGCCCUGGACCCUUUCUGACGCUGAGACGCGAAAGCCAGGGGAGCGAACGGGAUUAGAUACCCCCGUAGUCCCUGUCUCUUAUU